CGCGGCCUAUCAGCUUGUUGGUGGGGUAACGGCCUACCAAGGCUUCGACGGGUAGCUGGUCUGAGAGGAUGUCCAGCCACACUGGGACUGAGACACGGCCCAGACUCCUACGGGAGGCAGCAGUAGGGAAUCUUGCGCAAUGGGCGAAAGCCUGACGCAGCGACGCCGCGUGCGGGAUGAAGGCCUUCGGGUUGUAAACCGCUUUCAGCAGGGACGAAAUUGACGGUACCUGCAGAAGAAGCCCCGGCCAACUACGUGCCAGCAGCCGCGGUAAUACGUAGGGGGCAAGCGUUGUCCGGAUUUAUUGGGCGUAAAGAGCUCGUAGGCGGUUCGGUAAGUCGGAUGUGAAAUCUCCACGCUCAACGUGGAGGCGCCAUUCGAAACUGCCAUGACUUGAGUCCGGUAGGGGAGUGUGGAAUUCCCGGUGUAGCGGUGAAAUGCGCAGAGAUCGGGAGGAACACCCGUAGCGAAGGCGGCACUCUGGGCCGGUACUGACGCUGAGGAGCGAAAGCGUGGGGAGCGAACAGGAUUAGAUACCCUGGUAGUCCACGCCGUAAACGUUGGGCACUAGGUGUGGGACUCUAUCGACGGGUUCCGUGCCGUAGCUAACGCAUUAAGUGCCC
RNAcentral lists this ribosomal RNA (623 nucleotides) under uncultured Actinomycetes bacterium. RNAcentral describes it as "bacterial SSU rRNA". It matches the Rfam family "Bacterial small subunit ribosomal RNA", at positions 232 to 869 of the family's 1533-position model. Lineage: Bacteria; Bacillati; Actinomycetota; Actinomycetes. The record is from RNAcentral.